UACAGAGGGUGCAAGCGUUGUUCGGAAUUACUGGGCGUAAAGCGCGUGUAGGUGGCGACGUAAGUCGGGUGUGAAAUCCCUUGGCUCAACCAAGGAAGUGCAUUCGAUACUGUGUCGCUUGAGUACUGGAGGGGAUGGCGGAAUUCCCGGUGUAGAGGUGAAAUUCGUAGAUAUCGGGAGGAACACCUAUGGCGAAGGCAGCUCGCUGGGACGUUACUGACGCUGAGACGCGAAAGCGUGGGGAGCAAACAGG
RNAcentral lists this ribosomal RNA (253 nucleotides) under uncultured bacterium. RNAcentral describes it as "partial 16S ribosomal RNA". It matches the Rfam family "Bacterial small subunit ribosomal RNA", at positions 524 to 776 of the family's 1533-position model. The record is from RNAcentral.